RNAcentral lists this ribosomal RNA (736 nucleotides) under uncultured Arcobacter sp. RNAcentral describes it as "bacterial SSU rRNA". It matches the Rfam family "Bacterial small subunit ribosomal RNA", at positions 28 to 774 of the family's 1533-position model. The record is from RNAcentral. Lineage: Bacteria; Pseudomonadati; Campylobacterota; Epsilonproteobacteria; Campylobacterales; Arcobacteraceae.
AGUGAACGCUGGCGGCGUGCUUAACACAUGCAAGUCGAACGAGAACGGAUUAUAGCUUGCUAUAAUUGUCAGCUAAGUGGCGCACGGGUGAGUAAUGUAUAGAUAACCUGCCCUUAAGAAAGGAAUAACAGUUGGAAACGACUGCUAAUGCCCUAUAUGCCUUUAAUACAUAAGUAUGCAAGGGAAACGCUUUAGUGCUUAAGGAUGGGUCUGUAUGGUAUCAGCUUGUUGGUGAGGUAAUGGCUCACCAAGGCUAUGACGCCUAACUGGUUUGAGAGGAUGAUCAGUCACACUGGAACUGAGACACGGUCCAGACUCCUACGGGAGGCAGCAGUGGGGAAUAUUGCACAAUGGACGAAAGUCUGAUGCAGCAACGCCGCGUGGAGGAUGACACAUUUCGGUGCGUAAACUCCUUUUAUAUAGGAAGAUAAUGACGGUACUAUAUGAAUAAGCACCGGCUAACUCCGUGCCAGCAGCCGCGGUAAUACGGAGGGUGCAAGCGUUACUCGGAAUCACUGGGCGUAAAGAGCGUGUAGGCGGGUAUAUAAGUCAGAAGUGAAAUCCAAUAGCUUAACUAUUGAACUGCUUUUGAAACUGUAUACCUAGAAUGUGGGAGAGGUAGAUGGAAUUUCUGGUGUAGGGGUAAAAUCCGUAGAGAUCAGAAGGAAUACCGAUUGCGAAGGCGAUCUACUGGAACAUUAUUGACGCUGAGACGCGAAAGCGUGGGGAGCAAACA